Molecule: long non-coding RNA, 538 nt
Organism: Acinonyx jubatus (cheetah)
Lineage: Eukaryota; Metazoa; Chordata; Mammalia; Carnivora; Felidae
Exons: 2
Source: RefSeq, a predicted model, not a curated record
GAUGAUGACAACUAUUAUUACCAAGUGGUGGACACUGUGAGCACCACCCGGCCCCGCCCUCCAUGAAGGACUUGUCAUCCCUGCAGCCAUCAGUCCCUUUCUUUGACCUGCAAUGACUGCCCCAGCUGGGAACCGCUCCCCCAGGCCAGCUCAGCUGCUCUGUGUGCAGCGCCCCCUCGGGGUCGAGGCUGGGCUGCUCCUCUGCCCGAUACCGCGCCAGGUGGACAAUUGCCAUCACACCAGCUCUUUCUCUCGGUCGGCUUCCAGAGGAACGCGCAACAGGAUGUCACUGUAAUUAUAUAAGCGCUGAGCAAAUCAGGAUCCCGGGGCUGCCUGCAGGCAGGUGCCUCCCUGUCCAGGCAUCUCAGGCAGCCUGCUCGUGAUGUCCCCGGUGUCACUUGACUUUCCCCCUCAGAGCUGGCCGUGGAGCUGGACAACUCAGGUAGCCUAUGCUCUUUCCUGCCCCAAGCCACUGUGAUCUCCGGGUUUCUCGCUGACCUAAGUAGCCACACCAAAUAAACUGUGCUUUGCAGCUUCA